This 500-nucleotide ribosomal RNA is filed under the name uncultured bacterium. RNAcentral describes it as "partial 16S ribosomal RNA". It matches the Rfam family "Bacterial small subunit ribosomal RNA", at positions 30 to 523 of the family's 1533-position model. The record is from RNAcentral.
AUUGAACGCUGGCGGCACGCCUAACACAUGCAAGCCGAGCGGUAACAUGGUGUGUAGCAAUACACACUGAUGACGAGCGGCGGACGGGUGAGGAACACGUAGGAACCUGCCCAAAAGAGGGGGAUAACCAAGGGAAACUUUGGCUAAUACCGCGUAAUCUCGAGAGAGAAAAGCUGCCGCAAGGUGGCGCUUUUGGAGGGGCCUGCGUCCGAUUAGCUAGUUGGUGAGGUAAUAGCUCACCAAGGCGAUGAUCGGUAACUGGUUUGAGAGAAUGAUCAGUCACACUGGAACUGAGACACGGUCCAGACUCCUACGGGAGGCAGCAGUGGGGAAUAUUGGACAAUGGGCGAAAGCCUGAUCCAGCAAUACCGCGUGUGUGAAGAAGGCCUUAGGGUUGUAAAGCACUUUCAAUUGGAAGGAAAACCUCGAAGCUAAUACCUUCGAGUUGACAUUACCUUUAGAAGAAGCACCGGCUAACUACGUGCCAGCCGCCGCGGUAA